Molecule: ribosomal RNA, 465 nt
Filed under: uncultured bacterium
Lineage: Bacteria
Description: partial 16S ribosomal RNA
Rfam family: Bacterial small subunit ribosomal RNA
Source: RNAcentral
GACGAACGCUGGCGGCGUGCUUAACACAUGCAAGUCGUACGGUAAGGCCCUUUCGGGGGUACACGAGUGGCGAACAGGUGAGUAACACGUGAGUAACCUGCCCACAACUUUGGGAUAACGCUAGGAAACUGGUGCUAAUACUGGAUAUGUGCUCCUGCUGCAUGGUGGGGGUUGGAAAGCUCCGGCGGUUGUGGAUGGACUCGCGGCCUAUCAGCUUGUUGGUGGGGUAGUGGCCUACCAAGGCGGCGACGGGUAGCCGGCCUGAGAGGGUGACCGGCCACAUUGGGACUGAGAUACGGCCCAGACUCCUACGGGAGGCAGCAGUGGGGAAUAUUGCACAAUGGGCGCAAGCCUGAUGCAGCAACGCCGCGUGCGGGAUGACGGCCUUCGGGUUGUAAACCGCUUUCAGCAGGGACGAAGCUUUUUGUGACGGUACCUGCAGAAGAAGCACCGGCUAACUACGUG